RNAcentral lists this ribosomal RNA (261 nucleotides) under Triticum aestivum (bread wheat). RNAcentral's name for it is "partial small subunit ribosomal RNA". Lineage: Eukaryota; Viridiplantae; Streptophyta; Magnoliopsida; Poales; Poaceae. The record is from RNAcentral.
AUGUGUGUCCCAAAAAAUCAAGCAGUAAUGGGUUUAUGUGAUAUUCACUAUUUUAAUUUGGCGAUACUACUAAAACAAGCGUGGCGACUUAUUGAGAAGCCAUAUUCAUUAUGUUCUUUGGUUUUGCGACCCAAAUAUUUCCCUAAUGGUGAUUUGCCGAUCACAAGUUUUUAAGAAGGAUCUUUAUUUACUUGGGCAAAGUAUCAUGGCGAGGCCAAUUCUCUUAAAUAUGUUUACAUAUGGCGUGUUGGGAACGGGUAG